UACGGAGGGAGCUAGCGUUGUUCGGAAUUACUGGGCGUAAAGCGCACGUAGGCGGCUUUGUAAGUUAGAGGUGAAAGCCCGGAGCUCAACUCCGGAAUUGCCUUUAAGACUGCAUCGCUUGAAUCCAGGAGAGGUGAGUGGAAUUCCGAGUGUAGAGGUGAAAUUCGUAGAUAUUCGGAAGAACACCAGUGGCGAAGGCGGCUCACUGGACUGGUAUUGACGCUGAGGUGCGAAAGCCAGGGGAGCAAACGGG
This 253-nucleotide ribosomal RNA is filed under the name uncultured bacterium. RNAcentral describes it as "partial 16S ribosomal RNA". It matches the Rfam family "Bacterial small subunit ribosomal RNA", at positions 524 to 776 of the family's 1533-position model. The record is from RNAcentral.